ACCUACGGGGCGCAGCAGUGGGGAAUAUUGGGCAAUGGGCGCAAGCCUGACCCAGCAACGCCGCGUGAAGGAAGAAGGCCCUCGGGUUGUAAACUUCUUUUAUCAAGGACGAAACAAAUGACGGUACUUGAUGAAUAAGCCACGGCUAACUACGUGCCAGCAGCCGCGGUAAUACGUAGGUGGCAAGCGUUAUCCGGAUUUACUGGGUGUAAAGGGCGUGGAGGCGGGACUGCAAGGCAGAUGUGAAAA
This 249-nucleotide ribosomal RNA is filed under the name uncultured bacterium. Its description in RNAcentral is "partial 16S ribosomal RNA". It matches the Rfam family "Bacterial small subunit ribosomal RNA", at positions 337 to 600 of the family's 1533-position model. The record is from RNAcentral.